RNAcentral lists this unclassified non-coding RNA (4763 nucleotides) under Hevea brasiliensis (rubber tree). Lineage: Eukaryota; Viridiplantae; Streptophyta; Magnoliopsida; Malpighiales; Euphorbiaceae. The record is from RNAcentral.
GUUUUUUACCGAUGCCUAGCAUCCUCACUUUCUAAGCGCCCUAUCCCAUUUUAUCAAUCCACACUUCUACCAACUCCCUCCCAUCAACGAAACUCUUUCAGCUUCGAAAUUCAAUCAAUGGGAAGCAGCAGCUGCGCCUCUUCUUCUUGGCUCAGCCCGCGCGCCACUGUCUUUAGCCUGGGCUCAUCACCCAAGCGCGAACCUUUCUCCCUCUUCUUUUUCUCCUGCAAAUCCACCAACAAUACUUUCACCUGUUGCGCUACUAGCCCCACAGAUGAUUCCUCCUUCUCACCAUCAUCAUCAUCCUUAUUAUCUGCCUCCUAUACCCGUCGGUGGUAUAAUCCUCUCAGGCGCAAGCCUUACGACCACCCUUCUCCUGAAAUUCUCCGCCAUUGGGUAGGAGCUGAUCAAUCACAAGCAUCCCAAGAACAUUUUACGAUAGUGUCAUAUAAUAUAUUGGGAGACAGAAACGCUUUCAAACACAGAGAUUUGUAUCAAAAUGUUGAUCCUCUUUAUCUGAAAUGGGCACAUCGCAAAAAGGUCAUAUCUAAAGAAUUAGUUGGAUGGAAUCCUGAUAUUAUUUGUUUGCAAGAGGUGGAUAGGUAUUAUGAUUUAUUGAAGGUUAUGGAGAAAGCAGGGUAUGCUGGUUCUUACAAGCGGCGCACUGGAGAUUAUGCUGAUGGUUGUGCCAUGUUCUGGAAAGCUGAUAAAUUUCGGUUGUUAGAAGGAGAGAGCAUUGAAUUUAAGGCACUUGGUCUUCGUGAUAAUGUUGCCCAACUCUCUGUUUUUGAGGUAGCAACUCAGAAACUUCCACUAUCUGCUGCUAUAUUUUUAAGUAGUAUGGAAACAAUUUCUUGCAAUAUCUUUAGUCUAGUUUGUUGAAUAUUUUCAUUCAUUUCUCAUUCAAGGUUCGAAAUUGAUUAGAGAUAUACAAAGCAAAAAUUUGCUGUGAGUUAUUGCUUGUACUGUAUGGUCAGAACCUGAGAUAAAGACCAAUGACGUUUUUGAUAUAAAGAUUAUGUUAGGACUUCUCAAUUUCUAACUGCAAGCUUGUUUGUAAGACUUGGUUAAUCUAACUGUUCUAUGCUGACUUGAGUAACUAACUGUUGAUAAGGGUACAUAAAAAUGAACAAUGCUUUGUCAUUGUGGCAUGUUACAUUUUUCACUUAUGUUUGAAUAAAUUGACCAAGUCACCAAGGUAGUCACUAUAUGACCAUAUCUUGGGCAGCCUAUUACUGAUUCUGUCUAUUAAGUUCUGUGUCUCAUAUUCUGUAAAUUAUAUUUCUGAAACCUUGUCUUCUCAAAGAAAGACCAUUAUACAGAAAAUGGUUGUUGUAGCAGUACUGCCACAUAUGGUGCUGUAUUCUUUGUUUUGUUCAUAUUUAAAUUUCUUUUUCUGAUUAAUGUUGCUUUGUAGGGCUGAGAUUAUGCUCAUUUUUAAAUAUUCGGAACCACUUUAUCUAGUUUCAACUGAGCAAUAAAAUUAGCAUUUGGCUUUUUCAAGUUUUUCUGGGAACUUGGGUUACAAUUUGUUCAUGAGAAAUGUAGGCUUUGAUAGAAUAUUGAACUAAUUUUCUUGUGUUGCCCUCCGCAUUGCAUCAGACGUCAACUUGCACUUUGUUGUCCUGUGUCUACAGUAGCCCUCUUUUCUAUGUCUGACUCCAUUUCAUACAGGCAGAUUCUUGAAGAUGAAUCAAGAAGGUUACUAGUUGGUAACAUCCAUGUUCUUUAUAGUCCAAAUCGAGGAGAAAUUAAAUUAGGUCAAGUAAGUACUUUUAUAUCAAUAACUGCAUUCUAUGCAGAAAGUGAUUGAAACAAGCUUAAUUAAGGUGCCUUUAAUGUUUCUCCCAUAAUAACUAGUAGAACAUCUACUAUCCAGAAUGAAAUAAUAAAGUCCUUGCAACUUAUUUCAUUUGAUGGACAAAUCAAACUUGGUAACAUUUGUAAGGAAAAUUCUGGACUGUUGAAAGCAGACUUUUUAUGAUGUUACAUUGCAUCUGUAGACCAGCAACAGAGCAACUGGAAAAGUGUGUGUACGUGUUAGUAAAGUGUCACUGCCACCUCUAUAUACUUUUUUUCAUAUGACUUGACUUGCAUUAUUAGUCAUGCUUGAUGUUGUUGUCUUUACUUUUCAACUUUUUCCUUCACCAAAUAUACUGCAAGCCAAGGUUCUUGAGAUUUCAAUAUACAUAAUAUCAUAAUUUAUUUAGAAAUCAUGUUAAUAGUAGCCGGUUGGUUAAAAUGCCCACUAAUUAACAAAAUGAAGCUGCCGCUUGUAUUUUGGUGCCUCUUGCACUUUUUGUUGGUUUCGCAAUCAGCAGGCACAGUUUUCUCUGUUGUCUUAAUACUGAAUUGUUUAAUUUGUAGAUUCGUUUACUUCUAUCAAGGGCACAGAUCCUUGCAGAGAAAUGGGGCAAUAUACCUGUUGUUCUUGCUGGUGAUUUCAAUAGUACUCCUCAGGUGAAAUAUUAUAAAUUCUACUUCUUUAUGUUCACCAUUGUAGUUGCAUUUGCUUCUUAUGCCAAUUAAUUUUUUGAUUCUUUUCCUGCUUGACAGAGUGCUAUAUAUAAAUUUUUAGCUUCAUCCGAGGUAAGCAGCUUUUUAAAGUUGUUUAAUGUAUUGGAAUUAUCCUGGCUGUGGAAUUGCAAUAUAUAUAUAGAAUAUUUUUAAUAGUCUUAUUUAUCACAAAUCAAACAACAAAUUUAGGUUCUUGAUUGACAAUGGAUAUGUUCUGUUUGCAGCUGAAUAUUAUGUUAUAUGACAGAAAAGAGCUGUCUGGACAGAGGACUUGUGACCCUGCACAGGUUCUUGGUCUAGAGAAAGAAUUGAGGAAUCCAUUAUAUUUGAUGGACAGAAUUUUGAAGACUUGCUGGACCAGAGAAGCAAUUAAAGUUGCAACCGGUGACCCUGACUGUCAGUUGCUUACUCAUCCUCUGAAGCUUAACAGCUCCUAUGCCGCACUUAAGGGCUCUACAAGAACAAGGGACUUAAAUGGUGAACCUUUAGCUACUUCCUACCACUCAAAGUUUCUUGGUACCGUUGACUAUUUAUGGUACUCAGAUGGUGUUGUACCUAUACGAGUUCUGGAUACUCUUCCAUUUAAUACUCUCAAAAGGACAGGUGGGCUUCCAUGCAAGGUAAGAACUUUGGAGAUGGCAAUAUCUACCAUCUGAUGCCAUUUCACUUAAAAAUUAAGCAAAACUUUUCUAUGAGUGGAGUGAAUUUUCAUUUCAUUUCUGUCAAUUUUUCUGGAAAUUAAAAUGUCAAUCCACUGAAGAAAUUUAGUUUUCUUCUCUUUUUGUCAAAUGCAACAAUUAUUGGUCAUUGAGCUUGUAUAAGAGUGUGAUGCUGAUUCCACCAUCCUUGGCAUCCCUUUUGUAAUAUUUAACAUGGAGUAACAUUGUUGAUAUUUUCAUUAUUUACUGGCUCUCUAGGUGACAUCCUUUCCAUAAACUGAUCACCCAAUCGCAAUGAGGUUUGAACCACAAACCUCCUCACAGAAAUCCCCAGCCUUUACAAUUAUGGUGUCCCCAUGGAGACUAUGAUCUCCUUCUCCAAUUGUUGGCUACAUGGGCCAACAGAGGAAAACACUAUUGUUCUUCCCAAGAGCUGACGCUUCUGGAGCUCACCCUUUCAGCAGAGCAAAGGACAAUAUCUUCAAUUUAGUUGCAUGAAUUUAAAACCUUCAAGAAAUGCUAUUAAUUAUUAUAGUUGGUUGGGAAAUGUUUCCAGGUUCAUUUUUUUCUAUAUAUAUAUAUAAACUGCAAAUCAGUCCUGCUGUCUUCAAGGUCAAACAAGUUAGUUCUCGCUAUUUCAUAUAUAUGUGUAUGUGUGUUAUGUCUAAAAUAUAUAAAAUAUUUUUUAUUAACGUAUCCUUUAUGUGUCUUGUCCUAAAUUCUUAAGAAUAAUCGUGUUAAAAUAUUUGUAUUUUAAUGUAAAUAAAUGUAUUUCAUAUCCCUAUUUAUAAUUUAUAGACUCGUUCAAUAUAUGCGAGUGUGAUAGAACAUAUUUAAAAUUAGGAGGAUUAAAAUAAUUUUCGUAAUUUUUCAUGAUUUAUAUCAAAAUUAGUGUGGUUAGCAUUCGAAAAAAAAAAGAAGGAUUAGUGUGAUUGGACUGUUUUCUGUUAACUAUAAAUAGGAUUAAAUUUAGACGAAAUGAUCAUUCUGUUGACAGAAUCAAAUGUGUAGGAUUAACUUGUAAAUUACCAUUUUUUAGAAUUACUGCGUGGCAUUGAUUCACUACUAAGCAGUAAUCACAUCUUGAUGAAAUGCUUUGUAAAGAUGAUACCAUCUCAAAUUACAGUGUUGCACUCAUGAAAUUGCUUACAGAGUUGUUACUCAUUCACAUAUCAAAAUACAAUUUCUGUAAGUGAAUGCUUCUUUAUUCAAAUCUAUUUCUGAUUCUGUGAAUGUACAGAAACUGGGAAGUGAUCACUUGGCUCUAGUUUCUGAGUUUGCCUUUAAACGAGGAGCCAAAGAAGGCAGCGCCACAAACAUAGCAACAGUCUCAGCUGCAGCCACCUCAUCUUCAAGAGAGGAUAACAAAUCAACAUAAUGGAUGCAUAUUGGUUGGCAUGGACUUCCAGGAUUGGAUUUUAGUCAAUUUGGGAAUGAAAUUCCACAUAUCCACUCAAUCUUAAUGUAUAUUUGUGUGUGUGUGUGGGUGUUUAUGGAUAAAUUUUAAUAAUUGUCCCUGAACUUAUAUGAUUGUAACACUGCAGUCUUUCAACUUUAAAAUAAAAUAUAAAACCCCAUAAACUUUCA